Molecule: small RNA, 521 nt
Filed under: Pongo abelii (Sumatran orangutan)
Lineage: Eukaryota; Metazoa; Chordata; Mammalia; Primates; Hominidae
Description: retained intron
Source: RNAcentral
GCCGCCACCUCCCCGGGCUUGGCGCUCGGUGCUCUUCUGGUGCUGUCCCCUCAGGUGCUGCUGAGGAAACGGAGCCGGAGCCCGAGCUGGCGGCUCCGGGAGAAGAUGCGGAGCCGCAGGCGGGGCCGUCCGCGCGCGGCUCUCCGAGCCCUGCCGCCCCCGGGCCCCCGGCCGGCCCGCUGCCCCGCAUGGACCUGCCACCGGCGGGGCAGCCCCUGCGCCAUCCGACCCGGGCCCGGCCGCGGCCGCGCCGCCAGCACCACCACCGCCCGCCGCCGGGGGGCCCCCAGGUACCCCCGGCCUUGCCGCAGGAAGGGAAUGGGCUCAGUGCCCGCGUGGACGAGGGCGUGGAGGAAUUCUUCUCCAAAAGGCUGAUCCAGCAGGAUCGCCUCUGGGCCCCCGAGGAGGACCCGGCCACUGAGGGGGGCGCCACUCCUGUCCCCCGUACACUCCGAAAGAAGCUGGGCACCCUCUUUGCCUUCAAGAAGCCUCGUUCAACGCGGGGUCCACGGCCUGAUCUA